GCGCUGACGAGUGGCGGACGGGUGAGUAACGCGUAGGAAUCUGCCUUAUAGUGGGGGACAACGUGGGGAAACCCACGCUAAUACCGCAUACGCCCUACGGGGGAAAGGAGGGGAUCUUCGGACCUCGCGCUAAUAGAUGAGCCUGCGUUAGAUUAGCUUGUUGGUGGGGUAAAGGCCUACCAAGGCGACGAUCUAUAGCUGGUCUGAGAGGACGAUCAGCCACACUGGGACUGAGACACGGCCCAGACUCC
Molecule: ribosomal RNA, 251 nt
Filed under: uncultured bacterium
Lineage: Bacteria
Description: partial 16S ribosomal RNA
Rfam family: Bacterial small subunit ribosomal RNA
Source: RNAcentral